UGUGCAGCAGAAACACAACAGACACACGUGUGUAUCUUCACUGCUGCAGAGGAGGAGAGAGAGCAAUGCCUGAACACAAACACUACAGCAACAUCACUACAAACAAACCCACCGAAACAAAGUCACUUACAGGAUCAGUGACGUGUUGUGGACUGUAAGCCUGUUGAACAAAAGCAGAGACGUGUGGACAGACACUGACUGUACUGAUGAUGAUCAUCUGCUGCUGCACAGGCUGUAAAGUAUAACCCCUGCUGGACACGGCUCCGGAAGCUCCAGGGGGAGACCGAACUGGUAUCCCCCCUUCUUCAGGCGCGCCUCACACUCACUCACCAUUCACACAUAUCGCAGAGUUCUGGCUGGGACCGAUACCAGCAACCCCUGAAGCCGUGGGGCAGCGCUCUUACCACAGAGCCACAGAUCUCCUGUCUGAACACCUGCUGGAACUGAUGUUUGACUGCUGACCUGUGUGUGAGCUGAUUCAAUAAAACAAGAUACAAGUCAGAUCUGAACCCUUGUCUUUAUGAGUCUCUUCCUCAGAGAACUUGUGUUCUGUAUAAUGAGUUGAACAUUACCCAUAGUGAGGAUUGAACCCGGGUCUUCUUGAUCGAAGCCCAACACUUUAUGACCUGAGCCACCAAGUCUGAUGUUGGAGGAGAUAUCUGAAUGGGGCUUUAUCACAAACUCCAUCAUGACCAAGGUUUGACACAUGUUUCUUUGUAAUUUGCUCCACAAAACAACCAUAUCCAUAAAUCAAGCUCUGUGGUUCAGUGGAUGAGCGUUUGACUAUUGUACAGAAGUGCGAAGGAUCAAAUCCCACUCUUGCUAGAUUCAAGUCAGAUGUGAACUCUUGUCUUUAUGAGUCUCUUCCUCAGAGAACUUGUGUUUAUUCACUCAAUCAUCAUGGGGUUCACAUCAGCGUCCAGCUUGAGCUCAUUAUAUUCACCAUCAGCUUCCAUCAUCAGGGCAGGACACUGAUGGUGAAUAUAAUAAGCUCAAGCUGGACAUUAGCCAUAGUGAGAUUUGAACCCGGGUCUCUUUGAUUAAAGUUCAACACUUUACGACCUGAGCCACAGAGUCUGGAUGGUGAAGCAAAUGUUUAAUUGGAGCUUUAUUUAUUUCGUAAUUUUACCUGUGAUUUGAGAUAACUUUCUUUGUAAUUUGGCUCACAAAAAGUCUUCUGCAAUUAGUCAAGUCCUGUGGCUCAGUGUAUGAGUCUUUGACUACCGUUCAACAGACUGAAGGAUCGAAUCUCUCACUUGUGCUUUCAUGCAGGAGACCUGGGUUCAAAUCCCUCUAUUGCUUACUUUACUGUCAUUUGCUGGAAUUCAGUGAGACAAAGUGGCCCAAGCAGCAUGAAAGCCAUGAUGGGCUAGUGGCUGAACACACAGUCAAUGUGAACGAGACUACGGUAGAGGCUUGGGUACGAAACUCACUUCACUGUGUGGAUCAGACUAAAGGAACUGCUGAAAGGAAAGUGAUCAGUGCAGGAUUGAGGAAAAACACUUUUGUUUUUUGUAUUUAGAUCAGCAGUAAAGAGCAGUAACAGGACUCAGAUUUGAACCCAGGUAUGCUGUGAGAUCUUCACAUCUCAGGCUGUGUGCUCUGACCACUACACCAUCAGCACACACACAAACACACACUUCUUUCUCCAGUGUAAGGAUGACCACAUUUACACAUUUUGAAAAAAAAACUAAAUAAAUACAAAUAACUAAUAUCAAAUGUAAAUUAUACAAUACAUUCAAACUACAUCAUAUGCUAAUAUAUUAUUACAUUUCAUUGUUCAAAAUGUGAAAAACCUGCUUAUUCUUCAGUCACACACAUCAACCAUAUUUUAAAUGAUCUUACAGCUGCUUGUGGGGCUUUAAAUGUCACUAAACACAAUUAAACACUGUAAAUAUCAUCAUUUACCUCUAAAGUCUCCUCAUACUGUAUUGAGGACUCUACACCAAAUCUGGCCAAUCAAAUGCUUUCUACAGAAAGUCCCUCCCCCAACAUACACGCGACAGAGCAGCAGCACAACAAACACACUUUCUGGACUCUCUACUGGAAAUAUGAGCUCAUAAAUACCUUUACUGGAGCUGUGAAUCCGCCUGGAUGUGGAGGAGUGUGUGGAGGAGCGUCAGAAAGAGGAAAGAUGUGCAGCAGAAACACAACAGACACACGUGUGUAUCUUCACUGCUGCAGAGGAGGAGAGAGAGCAAUGCCUGAACACAAACACUACAGCAACAUCACUACAAACAAACCCACCGAAACAAAGUCACUUACAGGAUCAGUGAAGUGUUUUGGACUGUAAGACUGUUGAACACAAGCAGAGACGUGUGGACAGACACUGACUGUACUGAUGAUGAUCAUCUGCUGCUGCACAGGCUGUAAAGUAUAACCCCUGCUGGACACGGCUCCGGAAGCUCCAGGGGGAGACCGAACUGGUAUCCCCCCUUCUUCAGGCGCGCCUCACACUCACUCACCAUUCACACAUAUCGCAGAGUUCUGGCUGGGACCGAUACCAGCAACCCCUGAAGCCGUGGGGCAGCGCUCUUACCACAGAGCCACAGAUCUCCUGUCUGAACACCUGCUGGAACUGAUGUUUGACUUGUUCUGAGCUGUGAUUUUAAUAAUAAACAGUAAAGUAA
This is a non-coding RNA of Danio rerio (zebrafish), 2630 nucleotides long. NCBI's taxonomy places the organism in Eukaryota, Metazoa, Chordata, Actinopteri, Cypriniformes, Danionidae. The record is from RefSeq and is a predicted model, not a curated record.